AGAGAGAGAGAGAGAGAAAGAAUUGGAGAGGGAAAGAAAAAGAAAGAGAAUAAGAGGAGCAAAUAUCAAAUGAUGAUCAUGGCUAGAGGGUCAUCAUCACCUCUAUUCGAUCUUCUAUUUCUGAGAAGAUAUAUCUGAUCUUUUCUUUCUUGGUUUGUUUUCUUUUCAUGGAAUACCACGUUAGCUUAUUAAGAGAAGCCUAAGGAAGGAAGCCUACCUCACUUUGGCUUCUCCAUUUCAUCUUCUUCUUCAAUUUUCUCUCCAUCACCGCCACUUAGCACCAAAACCCUCCACUUGGUUGAAUCUUUGCAAGUUCACUCUUCUUCCUGCAACUGGUGCAGUAUCAAAAUCACCUUUAACAAAAGCUAGCGAGUCAAGAGAGGCCAAUUUAAAGCUCAAAGAAACAAGAGAUAUCUAUUUUGCGGUUUCAUGGCUCGAGAACUCUGUGAAGAUAAAUCAAGGAACAUGGUAUCGUCAUCAUCAGCAGGUUUUUGUUACUCAGAUGCUUCAUCAAGUAACCCAACAAUCCAAACCCAUCUAGGGAACCAGAUCCAAGGUUUUGAAUCCAACCUAGAGAUCUUCAACUUGACCUCAGGCAUGGAGAUGAUAGGGUUUUCAAGGAAUCUGCAGCAACAACAAAGUGAGAGUAAUACUGCUGUUAUGUGGAAAGGUUUCUUUGACAAGCCGGGAAGCAACAACUCCGGUGAUGGUGGUCCUUCUUGCUCCAAGACGAUCAAUGAAUCCACCAGUGAAUUCUAUCAACAUGAAUUCAACAAGCAGGACUUCGCAACUGGGAUUUCAGAGACGAGUAAUGAGAAUCUAAUAGUUGGAACUGACUCGUCAGCUCCAUGGCAGGAACAUAGGUUGCUUGUUGAUGACUCUUCUUUAAGGUGUGUGUUCCCUUGCGAACCAAAUGAGAGGCCAAGUCAAGGUCUUUCGCUCUCUCUUUCUUCAAGCAAUCCUUCUACUAUUGGAUUACAGUCUUUUGAACUCAGACACACAAAUAAUCAUCAGAAUCAUGAUAAUCCACAAGAAGAAAUGAGGUUUAUGAAUUCAAGUUCAAGAGAUGGCUUCUUUGGCAAAUCCGUUGCUAAUAUUCAACAACAGCAGAUGAUGCAAGAUGGGUUAUUGACAAAAGCUGCAAAUUUGCAUCAUCAAGGGCAGUUCCAGCUUAGAAACUCAAGGUACCUGGGUCCUGCAAAAGAACUUUUGAACGAGUUCUGUAGCCUUGGGACAAAGCAAACUGAUCAACCAAGGCCAAAGCCCCACAAGCCUAAACAGUGGGAUGAUGAAAAUGGAAGUGCUAGUAGUAGUAGUUCUUCAAGAAAGCAAUCUCUAUACUCCCUUGAAUUCAUGGAAUUGCAGAAGAGAAAAACAAGGCUGCUUUCAAUGCUGGAAGAGGUAGACAGAAGAUACAGGCACUAUUGCGAUCAAAUGAAGGCUAUGGUCUCAUCCUUCGAAGCUGUCGCUGGUGCUGGAGCAGCUACGGUGUACUCAGCUUUGGCAUCAAAAGCCAUGUCAAGACACUUCAGGUGUUUAAGAGAUGGGAUUGUGGCUCAAAUUCAUGCCACCAAGAAAGCCAUGGGAGAGAAAGAUCCGGUUGCACCAGGCACGGCAAGAGGAGAAACUCCAAGGCUAAGGAUUCUUGAUCAAACUCUAAGGCAACAAAGGGCUAUUCAACAAAUGAGCGUGAUGGAAAGCCAUCCAUGGAGGCCCCAAAGAGGCCUACCAGAAAGAUCUGUAUCUGUUCUUCGAGCGUGGCUAUUUGAGCAUUUUCUUCACCCGUACCCAAGCGAUGUUGAUAAACAUAUCUUAGCCCGCCAAACUGGUCUCUCAAGAAGCCAGGCACGUCCCUAUAUAGCUUAUUCUAAUCCUACACGAAUUAAUUUAUAUUAUCAAUGUGGCAUAUCUUCUUAGGAUCCAUAAUUAUAAUAUAAAUUUAUUUUAUAAUUAAAUAAUAAUGGUACCAUAUUAAAUAUACAUGAUACCUUUUGUUUUUACAUAUGAUUCAACAGGUAUCCAAUUGGUUCAUCAAUGCACGAGUUAGGCUGUGGAAACCCAUGGUGGAAGAAAUGUACAUAGAAGAAACAAGGGAGAAAGACAACAACAUGACGACUUCUGAUGGGGUUACUGAUCUUGAACACAAUAAUGGCCGGCCUGUUCCAAAUCCUUCCGCAUCAGAUCAAAAACCCACACCAGAUCAACUCAUUCGUAUCAAUUCCGAUUGUCUCUCUUCCAUUAUCUCUAACCCAGAUAAAAAUGAUACUUCAAAAGGCACUAAAACUUUCCAAAACCAUCAUUUGCAUCCGCAACACCAGAGUUUUGGAACAUUUGGUGCGGUGGAAUUGGAUUUUUCAUCUUAUAAUCACCACACGGCUGGUGGGCUUUCAUAUGCUAAUGAUCAUAGUGCUAAUCAGAACUUCAAUGGUGGGGGAGUGUCAUUGACAUUAGGGUUGCAACAGCAUGGAGAGAGUGGCGUAAGCUUAGCAUUCUCUCCUGCCUCACAAAGCUCUCUAUUUUACCCUAGAGAUCACAUUGAUGAUUGUCCACCAGUUCAAUACUCAAUUCUAGAUGGUGAAGCACAGAACUUACCUUACAGAAAUUUGAUGGGGGCUCAGUUGCUGCAUGACUUGGCUGGAUGAAAGGAAAGUACUACAUCGCUGGAAGGUAGGUGGGGUUCGGCACCGGAGUUCUUGCCGAAGGAUGGUGAUGGUUGAUAAGUAGUUUAGGCAUAGACAAAUACUCCAUACAUAUAUAUACAUAAAGCUACAGUUGGUUAAAGAUACUAUGGACAUUAGUUCCAUAGCUAGAAUAGUUUUGCAUCUUUUUUUUCCCAUUGAAAAGAAAAAAAAAAAUCUUUGUUUACUGUUAGUCUAAUUUGGAAUUUGCAAGCGAUUGAUGCAAGAUUAUGAAUAUAUUUUCUUUCCUCUAAAAGGGAGAAACUGUUUUGGCAAGAAAUUAUCCUGUUCUAUUAGUUAGUAGUAGGUAGGUAUAUGUCUCUCAUCCUCUCUUUGUAAUUGCGUAAGCUGAUCAGUGAUUGAAACUUUUGUGGCUCUUGUUAAAAUUGAUGCUUUCUAAUUUCUCAAAAGGAGGAGAUUUUUUUUUUC
This 3107-nucleotide unclassified non-coding RNA is filed under the name Hevea brasiliensis (rubber tree). The record is from RNAcentral. Lineage: Eukaryota; Viridiplantae; Streptophyta; Magnoliopsida; Malpighiales; Euphorbiaceae.